ACAAGCAGCGGAGCGUGUGGUUUAAUUCGAUGCUACACGAAGAACCUUACCAAGGUUUGACAUGCAAGUGGUAGGAAACUGAAAGGACGACCUUCGGGAGCUUGCACAGGUGCUGCAUGGCUGUCGUCAGCUCGUGUCGUGAGAUGUUCGGUUAAGUCCGCUAACGAGCGCAACCCUCGCUGUGUGUUAUAUGUGUCACACGGGACUGCCGGUUUUAAGCCCGGAGGAAGGUGAGGAUGACGUCAAGUCAGCAUGGCCUUUAUAUCUUGGGCUACACACACGCUACAAUGGGCGGAACAAUAGGUUGCCAAACCGCGAGGUGGAGCCAAUCCUUAAAUCCGUCCUCAGUUCAGAUUGCAGGCUGCAACCCGCCUGCAUGAAGAUGGAGUUGCUAGUAAACGCAGGUCAGCUAUACUGCGUUGAAUACGUUCCCGGGCCUU
Molecule: ribosomal RNA, 440 nt
Filed under: uncultured Anaerolineaceae bacterium
Lineage: Bacteria; Bacillati; Chloroflexota; Anaerolineae; Anaerolineales; Anaerolineaceae
Description: bacterial SSU rRNA
Rfam family: Bacterial small subunit ribosomal RNA
Source: RNAcentral